GCGGUGAGGAACUUGACUGCUUCAUCAUAGAGAUGUUGAAGAUUUAUUGUGCUUACAGUAUAAGUUGCCUACAAUAUUGUUGGAUUCCUUUCUCACAUCAAAAUAUAGGUAAACUACUGGUCUUCAUAAUCGACUGCAAGAGAAGAAAAGCUUAAUUACCUGAAAAAUAUAUCAGAGUGAAGGCACUUAUUCCAGGUUUCGCAUAUUCUAUCAUUGCAGCCUUAGUUCCAUGGUUCCACCCAACCUGGCGACAUUUGCACCACUCGCAGGUACACAAACUUCUCUCUUCUUUCAUGAUAUCGAAUGUUGGAUUAGUCCUGGUCCUGCUGAAUCAUAUUUUUCAUUGGAAAAUUUGGGCAUGAGAAGGAAAAAAAAUAUUUGCACCAGCUCUGG
Lolium rigidum is the source of this 393-nucleotide long non-coding RNA. RefSeq lists it as uncharacterized. The transcript is spliced from 4 exons. Lineage: Eukaryota; Viridiplantae; Streptophyta; Magnoliopsida; Poales; Poaceae. The record is from RefSeq and is a predicted model, not a curated record.